GGAGGUGGCGCAGGCGGUUGCGGAUAGAUCUUGGUCUAACCUUGGUCUAUCUGAGGAAAGUCCGGGCUCCCGAAAGACCAGACUUGCUGGGUAACGCCCAGUGCGGGUGACCGUGAGGAGAGUGCCACAGAAACAUACCGCCGAUGGAAAGGACGCAGGCAUAAGGCGGAAAACGCUUUCGUCAUUAUGUUCUUCAUCCUGUCACAGGUAAGGGUGCAAGGGUGCGGUAAGAGCGCACCAGCAGCAUCGAGAGGUGCUGGCUCGGUAAACCCCGGUCGGGUGCAAGGUCAAAGGGGCAAGGGUUGGUCUUUUUCCUGCCCCGCUGUAAGGUACCGCAUGAGGCGGCUGGUAACAGUCGUCCCAGAUAGAUAACCGCCCCCCCGGUGACGGGGGAACAGAACCCGGCUUAUGUCCACCUCCCUCC
RNAcentral lists this RNase P RNA (424 nucleotides) under Nodosilinea sp. P-1105. RNAcentral describes it as "RNase P RNA component class A". It matches the Rfam family "Bacterial RNase P class A". From Rfam's summary of the family: Ribonuclease P (RNase P) is a ubiquitous endoribonuclease, found in archaea, bacteria and eukarya as well as chloroplasts and mitochondria. Its best characterised activity is the generation of mature 5'-ends of tRNAs by cleaving the 5'-leader elements of precursor-tRNAs. The record is from RNAcentral. Lineage: Bacteria; Bacillati; Cyanobacteriota; Cyanophyceae; Nodosilineales; Nodosilineaceae.